GAUGAACGCUGGCGGCGUGCCUAAUACAUGCAAGUCGAGCGAACAGACGAGGAGCUUGCUCCUCUGACGUUAGCGGCGGACGGGUGAGUAACACGUGGAUAACCUACCUAUAAGACUGGGAUAACUUCGGGAAACCGGAGCUAAUACCGGAUAAUAUAUUGAACCGCAUGGUUCAAUAGUUAAAGACGGUUUUGCUUUCACUUAUAGAUUGAUCCGCGCCGCAUUAGCUAGUUGGUAAGGUAACGGCUUACCAAGGCAACGAUGCGUAGCCGACCUGAGAGGGUGAUCGGACACACUGGAACUGAGACACGGUCCAGACUCCUACGGGAGGCAGCAGUAGGGAAUCUUCCGCAAUGGGCGAAAGCCUGACGGAGCAACGCCGCGUGAGUGAUGAAGGUCUGCGGAUCGUAAAACUCUGUUAUUAGGGAAGAACAAAUGUGUAAGUAACUAUGCACGUCUUGACGGUACCUAAUCAGAAAGCCACGGCUAACUACGUG
This 497-nucleotide ribosomal RNA is filed under the name uncultured bacterium. Its description in RNAcentral is "partial 16S ribosomal RNA". It matches the Rfam family "Bacterial small subunit ribosomal RNA", at positions 28 to 507 of the family's 1533-position model. The record is from RNAcentral.